AUUGAACGCUGGCGGAAUGCUUUACACAUGCAAGUCGAACGGCAGCACGGGGGCAACCCUGGUGGCGAGUGGCGAACGGGUGAGUAAUACAUCGGAACGUGCCCAGUCGUGGGGGAUAACGUAGCGAAAGUUACGCUAAUACCGCAUACGAUCUACGGAUGAAAGCGGGGGACCGUAAGGCCUCGCGCGAUUGGAGCGGCCGAUGUCAGAUUAGGUAGUUGGUGAGGUAAAGGCUAACCAAGCCGACGAUCUGUAGCUGGUCUGAGAGGACGAACAGCCACACGGGGACUGGGACACGUCCCAGACUCCUACGGGAGGCAGCAGUGGGGAAUUGUGGACAAUGGGCGCAAGCCGUAUCCAGCCAUUCCGCGUGCAGGACGAAGGCCUUCGGGUUGUAAACUGCUUUUGUACGGAACGAAAAGGCUCUGGUUAAUACCUGGGGCUCAUGACGGUACCGUAAGAAUAAGCACCGGCUAACUACGUGCCAGCCGCCGCCGUAA
Molecule: ribosomal RNA, 500 nt
Filed under: uncultured bacterium
Lineage: Bacteria
Description: partial 16S ribosomal RNA
Rfam family: Bacterial small subunit ribosomal RNA
Source: RNAcentral